This is a long non-coding RNA of Cyprinus carpio carpio, 673 nucleotides long. NCBI's taxonomy places the organism in Eukaryota, Metazoa, Chordata, Actinopteri, Cypriniformes, Cyprinidae. The record is from Ensembl.
GUUUUUUGGGGGGGCCUUCCCUAAACUUGGAUCAGAUGAAAUAAGUCAUGAAUCAUCAAAUGAGACCAAGAGGACACCAAACUGAAAUGUGAAUGUAUCGUCAACACAAGCCUGCACAUGGAUCCACGUCGACUGGUUUGUGGAAGCUGCAUUAGCAUUACUGAGCCGCAGCGCCGCGGGAUCAAAGAGGCUUUGUCCUGUGAUGCGUGAGGGUCGUGCAGGUAUGGGACAGACGCGGCCUGACCCCAGACUACAGGGCAGCAGGGACACAAUCUGCUCCGAGACCCGCUCCUGUGCUCAUCGGCCACUGAACGAGAAGCUGCUCUGUGAAGAUACCACAGUGUCCCGAGGAGAGAUGGGAAGGAACAAAAGAAAGUUUGGAAAGAAAGGAAGAUGGGAGGACCUCGAGACAAAAAGAGAAAAUGCAUGAUCACUUUGUCAUCUAUUGAAGCUCAUGAAAACACCGCCGAUCACUUCGAGAUGUCAGAGAGCGACCGGGGAAAGCGUUUGGACCUCAGCGAUUAUGGUGAAGGCAAUCCCAUAAUGCACUGCGACAAGCUCAGUGAAACAAAAUCAACUAAGAUGAAAGCAGGAUUGCUCAGUAGGCUUUUCCACGGUGCUGAGAAAUGAAGUGAAUGGAGUUUAAGCAAACAGAGUCAGGUCUGCCUGCAGC